UCUUGCCUACGGGAGGCAGCAGUGAGGAAUAUUGGUCAAUGGCCGAGAGGCUGAACCAGCCAAGUCGCGUGAGGGAAGACGGUCCUAUAGAUUGUAAACCUCUUUUGUCGGGGAGCAAAAGACGCCACGCGUGGCGUUCCGAGAGUACCCGAAGAAAAAGCAUCGGCUAACUCCGUGCCAGCAGCCGCGGUAAUACGGAGGAUGCGAGCGUUAUCCGGAUUUAUUGGGUUUAAAGGGUGCGCAGGCGGAAGAUCAAGUCAGCGGUAACAUUGAGAGGCUCAACCUCUUCGAGCCGUUGAAACUGG
Molecule: ribosomal RNA, 305 nt
Filed under: uncultured bacterium
Lineage: Bacteria
Description: bacterial SSU rRNA
Rfam family: Bacterial small subunit ribosomal RNA
Source: RNAcentral